This 519-nucleotide ribosomal RNA is filed under the name uncultured bacterium. Its description in RNAcentral is "bacterial SSU rRNA". It matches the Rfam family "Bacterial small subunit ribosomal RNA", at positions 32 to 524 of the family's 1533-position model. The record is from RNAcentral.
AAUCAACGCUGGCGGCGUGCCUCAGACAUGCAAGUCGAACGCGAAAGUUCCCUUCGGGGAAUGAUUAGAGUGGCGUCCGGGUGAGUAACACGUGGGUAAUCUACCUUCGGGUGGGGAAUAACAGUCGGAAACGACUGCUAAUACCGCAUAAUGCAGCGGCACCUAAUGGUGACAGUUGUUAAAGCGGGGGAUCGCAAGACCUCGCGCCUGAAGAGGAGCCCGCGGCGGAUUAGCUAGUUGGUAGGGUAACGGCCUACCAAGGCUUCGAUCCGUAGCCGGCCUGAGAGGGCGGUCGGGCCACACUGGCACUGACAUACGGGCCAGACUCCUACGGGAGGCAGCAGUCGGGAAUUUUGGGCAAUGGGCGAAAGCCUGACCCAGCAACGCCGCGUGAAGGAUGAAGCUUUUCGGAGUGUAAACUUCACAAGAACGGAAGAAUAAGUGGGGAGUAAUACCCCCCAUGAUGACGGUACCUAUUUGUAAGCUCCGGCUAACGUCCGUGCCAGCAGCCGCCGCAGU